CCAGCUUCCUUUGCCAUUCUGGCUUAGAUCAAGUGUAGUAUCUGUUCUUUAUAGUUUAAUCGCUAUAAUGCCACUACGGUGGCUUUCCGAUUAUUCGUAUUUUUGUAAUAAGACCUUGGGUCCUGAGCUUGCUCACACCCAAGGCCAUAGUGUCGCCAGUAUCCAUGCACUACUUCUGGCCGACGCGAACUUUU
This 194-nucleotide small nuclear RNA is filed under the name Alternaria alternata. Its description in RNAcentral is "U2 spliceosomal RNA". It matches the Rfam family "U2 spliceosomal RNA". Rfam says of the family: U2 is a small nuclear RNA (snRNA) component of the spliceosome (involved in pre-mRNA splicing). Complementary binding between U2 snRNA (in an area lying towards the 5' end but 3' to hairpin I) and the branchpoint sequence (BPS) of the intron results the bulging out of an unpaired adenosine, on the BPS, which initiates a nucleophilic attack at the intronic 5' splice site, thus starting the first of two transesterification reactions that mediate splicing. RNAcentral also lists the same sequence under 1 other name. The record is from Rfam by way of RNAcentral. Lineage: Eukaryota; Fungi; Ascomycota; Dothideomycetes; Pleosporales; Pleosporaceae.